This 808-nucleotide ribosomal RNA is filed under the name Escherichia coli. RNAcentral describes it as "bacterial SSU rRNA". It matches the Rfam family "Bacterial small subunit ribosomal RNA", at positions 695 to 1500 of the family's 1533-position model. Lineage: Bacteria; Pseudomonadati; Pseudomonadota; Gammaproteobacteria; Enterobacterales; Enterobacteriaceae. The record is from RNAcentral.
GAUCUGGAGGAAUACCGGUGGCGAAGCGGCCCCCUGGACGAAGACUGACUCUCAGUGCGAAAGCGUGGGGAGCAACAGGAUUAGAUACCCCUGGUAGUCCACGCCGUAAAACGAUGUCGACUUUGGAGGUGCGCCUUUUGAAGGCGUGGCUUCCGGAGCUUAACGCGUUAAGUCGACCGCCUGGGGAGUACGGCCGCAAGGUUAAAACUCAAAUGAAUUGACGGGGGCCCGCACAAGCGGUGGAGCAUGUGGUUUAAUUCGAUGCAACGCGAAGAACCUUACCUGGUCUUGACAUCCACGGAAGUUUUCAGAGAUGAGAAUGUGCCUUCGGGAACCGUGAGACAGGUGCUGCAUGGCUGUCGUCAGCUCGUGUUGUGAAAUGUUGGGUUAAGUCCCGCAACGAGCGCAACCCUUAUCCUUUGUUGCCAGCGGUCCGGCCGGGAACUCAAAGGAGACUGCCAGUGAUAAACUGGAGGAAGGUGGGGAUGACGUCAAGUCAUCAUGGCCCUUACGACCAGGGCUACACACGUGCUACAAUGGCGCAUACAAAGAGAAGCGACCUCGCGAGAGCAAGCGGACCUCAUAAAGUGCGUCGUAGUCCGGACUGGAGUCUGCAACUCGACUCCAUGAAGUCGGAAUCGCUAGUAAUCGUGGAUCAGAAUGCCACGGUGAAUACGUUCCCGGGCCUUGUACACACCGCCCGUCACACCAUGGGAGUGGGUUGCAAAAGAAGUAGGUAGCUUAACCUUCGGGAGGGCGCUUACCACUUUUGCGAUUCAUGACUGGGGUGAAGUCCUAACAAGGUAGC